Ostrea edulis (European flat oyster) is the source of this 1027-nucleotide long non-coding RNA. RefSeq lists it as uncharacterized. NCBI's taxonomy places the organism in Eukaryota, Metazoa, Mollusca, Bivalvia, Ostreida, Ostreidae. The transcript has 2 exons. The record is from RefSeq and is a predicted model, not a curated record.
ACUGUCAAUAAAAAGAUGAAUCUUGAUGAAAGAUUUUGUCAGGAAACUACGGACAUUAAUUUUAAUAUUUUUAAAUUGGACUGAUAUGUAUUUGGCAUCGAUGUACGAAACCCUCUCCCCCUUCUCAGAAUAGUAUGAAAUUAUAAUUUAAGUGAAGAGAUCUAUCUCAUUGAUCACUUGAAUAUUGAUAUUAAUGACACAGCAAUGUCAGAAGGUGUAUAUAAAAUUUUGUCUCACCUGUAAAUCCAACAUGGCCUCCCUGUUCUUUCGACCUCCAGUCUAGUCCUGUGCGGCUUGUAUACACUGCGUGAUAUCUCGUGUUUAAAUAGCUUUAAAGUUUGUUUGACCUAGUUCAUGUCGGUGACGUCAGUUGAUAGGGUCUAAUACUCUAUACUUGUUUUCUUUCAUAAAAGAAACAUAAAUUGUAUUGCACACACAGACCUGAUACAAUGUAUGUACUGUACAAUCUAAUUCACUUAUGAUCGUAGGUGAAUGGAUCAAAAGAUUUAAUUUUUGAUUAGAUUGAAUAUAUAUAUAAAUUCUAAAUUCCUUCAUUACACCCGUGUAUAUUGAAAUUCGACCCCAUGUACAAAGACGGCGAUAUCAAUUAGGGGGGGGGGGGGUUAGGCCUCUUUCUCACACAAACAAACACCCACGCGCACACACACUCACCCAGACCUCUAACUUUACAUAUUUAGGAUUCUUUAUCGUGCUAAAGCAUUAGAUAUCGCAGCGCGCUGGCUCGCUCUGAGUGCUCAGUGACGCCAUUUUUGUUUACAUGCGAUACAACUCGGAUUAAUCAUGACUUAUAGAAAAAAUCCGUUCUGUUGCUAAUUUGUUUGUGCUUGUGAAUGACGUGUCUUUUACAUAUGAAACUCGGAUUUUCCAAUCGAAGUAAACCCUUGAGUUGAUUGCGUUACGCGCACCCUGGUUGAGUUGAGUGGAAUAUUAAGCCUCCAGAUGUCUAUGUACAUGUACACGUGUAUGAUUAAAAUUUUGUUGCACUCGCGGAAGCGAGCUUAUCCUA